RNAcentral lists this long non-coding RNA (990 nucleotides) under Homo sapiens (human). RNAcentral describes it as "HSALNT0338744". Lineage: Eukaryota; Metazoa; Chordata; Mammalia; Primates; Hominidae. The record is from RNAcentral.
GCGUGGGCAGGUGGGCGACCCUUGGGGGGCAUGGGCAGGUGAGUGGCCCUUCAGGGGCGUGGCAUGUGCAGGUGGGCAGCCCUUCCAAGGGCGCGGCCAGGCAGUUGGGCGGCUCUUCCAGGGACAUGGGCAGAUGGGCCACCCUUGGGGUGCAUGGGCAGGAUUGCACUCACCAGCGUCUGAGGGAUCCGGAAGCCCCAGAUGUAGCCCCGUCCCCGGGACUUGGCAAGAGGAGGAACGCAGGCACAGACAGCCCCUGGGGGAUGCCAGGAGGGACCCCCCCACUCAGAACCCCACAGCAGGAGCUCAAGAAUGCACUCUGGGGCAGGGUGGCUGGAGGGCCCUGCACUGAAGCCCACGGUGCUGGCUGGUAUUGAUCCCACUCGCCCGUCUCAGCCUCUGGCUCCGGUCCCCUCCCUGCUCUGCCAGAGGUCCCAACAACCACAACCGUCUGUCACCCUCCCAGUGAGGCAGGAGAGCACCUGGCCCUGAGUCCCGUUUGUCCCAUUUGUCCAGUGGAGCAGCCACCGGCCCUGACCUGGACCACGUGCUGGGCGCCUCCUGGCAGCCCGUUCUGCUCCCGAAUGCCCCGGCUUAGUCAGUCUGGGAUGCGGCCCUGGACACCGGGCUUUAUGCAGCUCUGAAGUGAUCCCAGCACACAGCCCGGGUCAAGCUCAGCGCUCGGCAACCAUAGGCACCCAACAACGGGCUGCAGCCAUCAGUAACAACGGCAGCUCCAACGCCCAGAGAACUCACGGAGCAGACACACAUCAGAUGAAGACGCGGAGGCCUGAGCGCUGGGGGUCGCCCGGGGCUGCACAGCGGGUCAGAGGCCAACCCUGGGCGGAGCCAGGCCACACCCUCCCUCAAGGAUUCACAGUCUCCCCAAAGUAACCGCAACGAGGGACCCUCCCGUCACCAAACUUCCUUUCAGUCACUUCCGCUUGUACUAAUUCUGGCCCAACCGUUCAUUAUAUUUUUACAAUUCUU